RNAcentral lists this ribosomal RNA (379 nucleotides) under uncultured bacterium. RNAcentral describes it as "partial 16S ribosomal RNA". The stretch from base 255 to 379 matches the Rfam family "Bacterial small subunit ribosomal RNA", at positions 1 to 127 of the family's 1533-position model. The record is from RNAcentral.
GUGAUGACCGUGUAAGCAAAAAAUACGCAGGUGCGUGGAUACGAGUAUCGGAAACGUGAAAUUGGCUGUUGACACCCUUCGAGAGCCCCGUAUAAUGCGCCCUCACGACGUCGGGCGUUACUGCCGCACCGGACUCCGGUCCGGAUUGUUCUUUACCAACCGAGUGGAGAUGUGUGGGGUUUAGGCCCAGGGGGUAUUAUUAGGUUGCUUAGGCACUGGUGAUUACCCUGAGCAGUAUUGUUUUAAAAUGGAUUGAACGAGAGAGUUUGAUCCUGGCUCAGAUUGAACGCUGGCGGCAUGCCUAACACAUGCAAGUCGAACGGUAGCAGGCCUUCGGGUGCUGACGAGUGGCGGACGGGUGAGUAAUGCGUAGGAAUCU